RNAcentral lists this long non-coding RNA (1052 nucleotides) under Salvia miltiorrhiza (redroot sage). Its description in RNAcentral is "long non-coding RNA (SMIL_LNC000785)". Lineage: Eukaryota; Viridiplantae; Streptophyta; Magnoliopsida; Lamiales; Lamiaceae. The record is from RNAcentral.
CAUUCAUCGUCAAAAUAUUUAACAUGGCUUCUCAAAAGUCGACUUUUACAAUCAUCUUUUUGUUAAUGAUAGUUGAUGGUUAGCAUAUCUUCCUGUAAUGUGUUAAUUAUGAGCUUCCUUUCCUUUAUUUAAGUAGCAAAUUUUAUUAGACUUAUAAAUAUAAUGGUUUUUAUAGAUUAUUCAAAUAACAUAAUAAGGUUUUAAAAAUAAACUUUGUAUCAUGUGUUUUUUAUUUUAUAAUUCUUGUACUAUUUUAUGGAACGACCUGAAAGUAUUGACGUUCUAUUUAUUUCAACUAAAAGUACUAUUAAUUGGCAAAUUUACCAUUAAAUUAAAAAUUUGGUAAAGUAUUAUAUAUAUAUAUAUAUAUAUAUAUGGGUUCGGUUCUAGUGAGAUCCACAAUUUUCGUGAGAACAUGAGAACCAAUUAAAAUUACUGCAUCUGUUAUAACAAAUUAAUGUAUCCACUAUUAAAUUUACUGCAUUCAAAAAAAAUAAUUUUUUGAUUCCUUCAAGAUUCGAACCCAUGUUCUUCAUUUAUCCACCAAGAUGAUGCAUCNGGUUCUAGUGAGAACCACAAUUUUCGUGAGAACAUGAGAACCAUUAAAAUUACUGCACUGUUAUACAAAUUAAUGCAUCCGCUAUUAAAUUUACUGCAUUCGAAAAAAAUAAUUUUUUGCUUCCUUCAAGAUUCGAACCCAGGUUCUUCAUUUAUCCACCAAGAUGAUGCAUCCACCGUAGAUCUUAAUGAUCGAAUGGCUUAAAAUGGUUCUCCGUUAUUAUUUUAUUUAGUGGUUCUUCUUUGAACCUCUCCAUAUAUAUAUAUAUAUAUUCUAACAUACAGACUUCAAUCUUGAAAUUAUAUUCUUUACUUGUUGUUUUGAGUUUUGUGUAUUUGAUGUUUUUCUCUUUUGGAUAAAUGCAGUAAAAAUAUCAUUAGCGAAAUGCGUGUUGCGUGAGGACUGUAAAAUUAGAUGCAAUAAGGGUUCUCCAUUAUGUCAGGAUGGCGUUUGCAUUUGUCUCGACGAGCGAAAACCUACCUUCAGCGAUUAU